UGAAUGAGCUGAAACUAGUGACAGGAAUUAGAUUUUUAUAGUCUAAAAUGAAUACAGAUAUGUUUUCAUAGUGUUCAUUUAGAUAUCCUUGGCUCAUUUUAGGCCUAAUCCUGAAAGUUUUGCUCAUCUAUGCAUGUUUAUGAAGAAUUAUGAAGUUAUGAUAUAAUAUGCAUCAUUUGCCAGUCCAGAAUCUCCCUAUCUAAAGCACCUCAUCGUAGGUGGCUGCUUCUUGCUGUAAUCUCUUGCUGGUUUCCUGUUGUUUAGCAGCAGGUUGAUGCAGAACGUCAAAUGCCAUCAUUGACGUUCUUAUAUAAAAGCAAUAUUAAGAAGAGACAAUUAUAGAAUGAUUGGAUCAAAUAAAAUGAUCAUACACACCAAUCUCACUUUAAUGGCAGUAAAAAAAAAAAAAAAAACAUGCAAGACAAUGUCUAGCCAUAAAUUGGGAGUGGGGAGGAGGGUCAAAAACAAGGGGACAGGGAUAAUAACCAAGAAGAGCAGAGAGAGAGAGAGUGAGAGAGAAAGAGAGAAGGAGAGGGAUGGAGAGAAAAAGCGACAGGACCAUUAGAAGAAAGCAUGUGUUUUCGAAGCAACAUCAGACAUCAGUACUGUGGCUUUCUGACUCUGAGUCUGUUUGGAUUAUGUCAGUCCUUCACAUCAAGAAUCAGUUGUAGAGUUGCUCACUCUCAAAGCGGACUGAUCGCCAUUCGCCUACUCAUCCUCAAGCACGGAGCACCAGAGCUCAGCUCAAGCUCUCUGAAUUUGGGGAUAUACCUCUUUCAGUGUUUCUCUGUCAUUCUGUUCAUGCGUGUGAGUUUUGCCAUUUGGAUUCUGCCUGGACUCCUUGUGAUUAGUCAAGCACACACGCUCCCCUGGAAGGAAGGAUCAUGAAAACAAUGAAAACAAACUUAGUUUGUAGUUUACUGGGGCCUUCAGGCAUCUUCUUCUUCUUCUUGCUUUAAAGCCAUAAAGCAAGAAGAAGUCUCCUCACACACCUGCUGCUGAGAAGUGAGAACGUGCAUAGGAGGACGUGCUCAGAAGAGUUCAGUUCGCAUGAAUCAGAGGUAAAAAAAAAAACCCUAUAUAAAUACUGUUCAGUUUCUUGUAUUGACUGAUCAUUUUGUGUCUUUACACAUCACGACAUGAGCCGCAGGGUUUAAUUUGUUUUUGUUUGUGUAUGUUUUUUUGUUUUUGUUUUAAUGUAUGUUUUAGCUGUGAUUCCCAUCCACUUAUAUUAUAAGAGUGAUAGACUGCGAAAGACUAGAAAACCGUUUUUUAGUUAAAAAUCUUGGUUUGUGUUCUGUUGUGUUCAAACAAAGUCACCUACAUCUUGGAUGACCUGGAGG
This 1343-nucleotide long non-coding RNA is filed under the name Carassius auratus (goldfish). Its description in RNAcentral is "lncRNA (ENSCARG00000065594.1)". Lineage: Eukaryota; Metazoa; Chordata; Actinopteri; Cypriniformes; Cyprinidae. The record is from RNAcentral.